UUGAAAGGGAAACGAUUGAAGUCAGUCGUGCUGGCGCGAAAUCAACCUUCUCGUCUCGAGAUCACAUGGCGUGGCGAACCUCAAAACCGUCACGAAGCGUGAACUCUUGGUGAAAUGGAGCACUUUCGUGUCCGCUGGUUAACAUCAAUUUCGAACGUCAUAAAAAGGCUGGAGGGAUGUGGCUCCUUCGGGAGUGUUAUAACCUUUAGCGGAAUGUGGUGUUCGGGAUUGAGGAUUGCAACGAAUACCUUUAGGGCUGUUCCACCUGGCUUCUCUUUGGUAUCCUGGUGACGACAGCUUGCUGACGUCGUUAGGAUUCGCCUUUGAACAGGCUAGAGUGUGAGCAAAUUCGUUAAGGAUGUUGACGUA
This 369-nucleotide ribosomal RNA is filed under the name uncultured Glomeromycotina. RNAcentral's name for it is "LSU rRNA". Lineage: Eukaryota; Fungi; Glomeromycota. The record is from RNAcentral.